Molecule: ribosomal RNA, 301 nt
Filed under: uncultured bacterium
Lineage: Bacteria
Description: partial 16S ribosomal RNA
Rfam family: Bacterial small subunit ribosomal RNA
Source: RNAcentral
CAGCAGCCGCGGUAAUACGUAGGUCCCGAGCGUUGUCCGGAAUUAUUGGGCGUAAAGGGCGCGUAGGCGGUUUGGCAAGUUUCGUGUGAAAUCUUCGGGCUCAACUCGAAGUCUGCACGGAAAACUGCCGGGCUUGAGUAUGGGAGAGGUGAGUGGAAUUUCCGGUGUAGCGGUGAAAUGCGUAGAUAUCGGAAGGAACACCUGUGGCGAAAGCGGCUCACUGGACCAUAACUGACGCUGAGGCGCGAAAGCUAGGGGGGCAAACAGGAUUAGAUACCCGUGUAGUCCCUGUCUCUUAUAC